AUUUCUUGGCUUAUUACACGUUUUAGUGAUUUUAUUAUUAUUUUUUUAACGUCUACAGGAAAAGGAAGGCUUUGAUCAGACGCUCGCCAAGGAGCAAGGAGCCCUGAGGGAACAACUGCAGGUUCAUAUACAGACGAUUGGCAUUUUGGUAUCUGAAAAAUCAGAAUUGCAAACCUCCCUCUCCUUCACCCAGCAAGCGGCCCGUCAGAAAGGAGCCGAGGCCGAAGACCUCGCUAUGCGCCUGCAGAGUACCAAGAAGAGAGUGGCGGAGCUGGAACGCACCUUAUCGGGCAUCUCCCUGCACCAGAAGCAGGCGGAGAAGCUCAACAAAGAACUGGAGAAGGAACGCGACAAUCUUCGCCUCGAGUCUUUG
This is a long non-coding RNA of Spea bombifrons (plains spadefoot toad), 373 nucleotides long. RefSeq lists it as uncharacterized. The transcript is spliced from 4 exons. The record is from RefSeq and is a predicted model, not a curated record. NCBI's taxonomy places the organism in Eukaryota, Metazoa, Chordata, Amphibia, Anura, Pelobatidae.